This 3488-nucleotide long non-coding RNA is filed under the name Ananas comosus (pineapple). Its description in RNAcentral is "long non-coding RNA (ACOM_LNC029892)". The record is from RNAcentral. Lineage: Eukaryota; Viridiplantae; Streptophyta; Magnoliopsida; Poales; Bromeliaceae.
CCCUAGUUAAUGAGUUUUUGAGUUUCUAAACUUUGAAUAAUAUUUCAUUUUGGUCAUUAACUUAGGGUAAAAUAUAUUAUAUAAAUCUAAUUCAUUUAUGUGUGUCAUACGUCAUAAAUUCAUUGAUUGUUCAUUAGCCUCUUAUUUUCAAUUUGAUGGUUCAAUUUAUACAUUGAGAAAAGUUGUAACUCAAUAAGCGAUAAGGUUGAAAGUUGAGAUGUAGAAAGGCUAGGUAAUAAUUUACCCCUCCUUAUAAAGCAUGCACAAAAAAGUUAAGAACAUAACUUUUUAAGUGUUUAGAGAGUACUAAAGUAGCACUUAAAAGUAAAAAUUUAAGAAUUAAAAUAAAACUCGGGUCAAAAGCUCAAGAACUAGUGUUUCAAUUUACCCCAUUGGAGAAUGCUAUGCUAUAUGGAAUUUGUGUUGCAUGGUUGGAUUUUGAAGCUACUCUUUUACCCACAUAUAGGGAUGUAAAGCGGCACGGCCUCGAACUGGGCUACAGGAUGGCACGGGUGUUGUAGCACCCGUGCCGUCCCGAUUGGGCCUGAGCUUCAGGACCGUGCUGGACCUCCCCCUUUGGACCCGACGGUCUGGCCCGACAUGACCGGCUUGUGCCGUGCCAGCUAGGCCAACACAACUUGAACCCCAAAACCCAAGGCAACUUGCCUUGGUCCUUAAGGCUUGAGCUCUUGGUGAGCUCUCCUCCCAAGGUGUGCCACUGGUCCACGGCAAAACCUUGGGAGGAGGUUGUUGGUCCAAUGCAUCACGGGGUUAGCUUUUUCGCCUCGAAAAUCCCCGCGCGGCGCUCAAAUGUCGCACACCCGAGCCAGCCUUCUCGAGUCCUUUACACGGACAAGUCUCCCAGACUUAACAGCGGAAUACCAAUACAAGCAUUUUGCCAAACUUGCUCCUCCCCGAGACUUAUAGCCCGGUCCCUCGCCUGUAAUCGAACCCCUCGUCGGACUCCUCGAGUUCCCGACGAGCAACCCCAAUACCGAGGUUGGCCACCAAGCUAGGUGCAUCCUGUUUUGUCAACCAAACCCUCCUCGAGAGUGCUCUGUAGCCGAAUGUCUUGUUGCCUUUCUCGCCAGCCCAAGGACAUUACAAGUUCUCCCCCAACUUGUACAAUAUGAGUAUAGCCGAGCGUCUCGCCUCCCACGCGUCUCGCUCCCGCUACUCAACCCGCACGCCUCUAGCGUCGAGGUCCGGGCUUCGCGACAUCGCAUGCCACGAAGGGCACUCAUAACCAUAAGUUCCUCACCAUCGCGUCUCCCGCGCCUGACAACGCCCAUGGCCAUACCGCCUACGCGGCCUGCUCGCUCGGUCCAACGGCUUACCUCCGAAAAGCCACCCAAGUGUGCGCCACAAGCUUGCUUGCCCCAACAUCAGCGCCUCGACGUGGCACCACGCACGUCCGUGCUUCGCAUUCGACCCGUGUGGCCCUCGUGCCCCAUCGCUCCUGAAUAGGGAACCAACAAGUCCACACCGUGCUUCUCGACCGUCUUAACGACCCUCGCUUUGCCACGGCGCUCCGCGCCCUCGACUCCCAUAGGUUCGCCUCAUAAGGCCCCAUACAAACGAACCGGCCUCGCUCCGCAUCGCUAGCCACUGGCCCCUCCUUGGCUCGACCACGCCUGGCCGCUUACCCCAUUGGUCCAGUCUCUCAAGGUUCACUAUACGGAUACCGAUACCGCUUGCCUCGUUGGGUUCCGCCCCUCAAGUCUCGUAGGCCACCCGCCUUACGUAUUCUCCCUCGGCGUGCCUCCAUUCAGCGUUCCUAUCGAGUCCCGCCUCCUUGGCCUUCGUGGGCGCCGCGCCCCACGAAUCCCCGCUCGGCACACUUGCCUUCGCGAGCCUUGUCCUUUACGGAGGACCGUCCGUCGCUAGACUAUCCCUCAUCCGCUCGUACGCUCCACUACAGAGAUCCAAGCCGGCAUAAGGUAGCGCAAGCGAUCCUAGGGAGGAAGCCUCCCGGUAUUCCCCGCUCCGUAAUGUCGUCGACCUCUCUCGUCUCCGACAUUACCCUAGGCCCGUGUCCCUUCAACCGUCCAUUAACCGGCUACACGGAACGCUAGGCUUGGCUACUCCGCUAGCCAAGGGACGACCCAUGUCCUAUGGGUCGACGGGGGAGUCGGGGCCACUUACGAAGUGUCCACCCCUCCUCUAAUACCCUUACGAGGCAUCCACUCCUUUGGCACCCCGGGGGUACGAAGGUGCUCACCGAGGGGUACGUUUUCCAACCCCGCAUGCGGCACCUAUUUCCAUGUCAUGGCACGGGCCAUUGCUAGGGAAUUGCCUCCGUUGACUUGACAGCGACUCCUACCUGACGGAACGCCUCAACUCCGCAACUCCAUAACUUCGUCAACCCAAGUGCCUACCAAAUAUGGCCCUCAAAGGUGUCACGGUCGAGACCCAACGAUCGACCCGUGACAGGCUCCCCCACUUGAAUCAUCGACGUCCUCGUCGAUGCUCUUCCACUUCUUCAAACUCUGUUGCUAGCAGUACCACUCUCCCAGACCAGAGCCACCCACGGCCUUGGCAUCGCAUGCCACGCUGACCUGCCAUCGAGUUCGUCUGCUCAACAACGCUUCUUCAAAGCCCAUUGGUCCUCCUCGACCAUCCAUCUCAUAUACAUGUUCUGUCCCUCCCUGAGUUAGAGCUCCCCAGCCUUGGUGCCUCGCUCGCACCACACUAACUCCUCCACGGAACCAGAACUUAAAACUCAUAAUCCCUCGGAUUGCAAGAUUGUACUGGCACUCUUCCUUAACUUGGUUCUCCCCAUCGGAGCUACUCGGCCUCAACGCCCACUUCGCCCUGACUUAACCAAAGUUCCACAAGUCCAGUAGCCAACCUUCUACCUCCUUAUCAAGGAAAUAGUCCUCCGACUAAACUUCCCCUCUCUGGAAUUCAAGGUCAUAUAUCCAUCGACCUUGGACUUAGGGGUUAGACUCCAAAUGUCCCUCGUCUCGGAGUUCUCCACGCGAAUCAGCACGCUGCUCGUCUUCGCUUUUGCCCCUUACCAUAACAUCAAGUUUCGUGCCUCUCCCUAGGCACCUACGACAGACACUACAACAAAAACGGCAUAUAGCGACACUUUUAAGUGUCGGUACAGGUCAGAAAAAGUGCUGCUGGCUAAAUUACCGACACUUUUAAAAAGUGUUGCUAUAUGUGGCGUCGCUAGGUAUAUAGUGAUACUUUUUAAGAGUGUCGGUAUAACUUAAAAAAAGUGCUACUAAUAUACCGACACUUAUUUAAGCUUUUAGCAGCACAUAAAAGUGAUGCAAAAUAAUAUUAUAGCAACACUUUUUUUAAAAUUUCAGCGACACUUUAUAAUUGUCCCAUUUUAAAAAAAAUAUCCUAUUUUUUCUUGAUGCAUCGCAGUUUUUAAAAUGUAAUACCACUCCAUAAUAAUUAUCAUCAAGCAUAUAAAAGAAGUUUUGUAGUCAUACUAACUAAUUAAUACCAAAAUGUCUCAAAGUACUAUUCAU